Molecule: ribosomal RNA, 843 nt
Filed under: uncultured bacterium
Lineage: Bacteria
Description: bacterial SSU rRNA
Rfam family: Bacterial small subunit ribosomal RNA
Source: RNAcentral
AGAGUUUGAUCAUGGCUCAGAGUGAACGCUGGCGGCAGGCCUAACACAUGCAAGUCGAACGGCAGCACAAGGGAGCUUGCUCCCUGGGUGGCGAGUGGCGGACGGGUGAGGAAUACGUCGGAAUCUGCCUAUUUGUGGGGGAUAACGUAGGGAAACUUACGCUAAUACCGCAUACGACCCCAUUUCGAGAGUCAUGGAGUGAAAGCGGAGGACCUUCGGGCUUCGCGCAGAUAGAUGAGCCGACGUCGGAUUAGCUAGUUGGCGGGGUAACGGCCCACCAAGGCUACGAUCCGUAGCUGGUCUGAGAGGAUGAUCAGCCACACUGGAACUGAGACACGGUCCAGACUCCUACGGGAGGCAGCAGUGGGGAAUAUUGGACAAUGGGCGCAAGCCUGAUCCAGCCAUGCCGCGUGAGUGAAGAAGGCCUUCGGGUUGUAAAGCUCUUUUGUCCGGAAAGAAAAGCUUUCGGUUAAUACCCGGAAGUCCUGACGGUACCGGAAGAAUAAGCACCGGCUAACUUCGUGCCAGCAGCCGCGGUAAUACGAAGGGUGCAAGCGUUACUCGGAAUUACUGGGCGUAAAGCGUGCGUAGGUGGUUUGUUAAGUCUGAUGUGAAAGCCCUGGGCUCAACCUGGGAAUUGCACUGGAUACUGGCGGGCUAGAGUGCGGUAGAGGAUGGCGGAAUUCCCGGUGUAGCAGUGAAAUGCGUAGAGAUCGGGAGGAACAUCCGUGGCGAAGGCGGCCAUCUGGACCAGCACUGACACUGAGGCACGAAAGCGUGGGGAGCAAACARGAUUAGAUACCCUGGUAGUCCACGCCCUAAACGAUGCGAACUGGAUGUUGG